GAUGAAGAACGUAGCGAAAUGCGAUAAGUAAUGUGAAUUGCAGAAUUCAGUGAAUCAUCGAAUCUUUGAACGCAUCUUGCACUCCUUGGUAUUCUGAGGAGCAUGCCUGUUUGAGUGUCAUUAAAUUCUCAACUACACUGACUUUGAAUUGGUGUGGCUUGGAUUUGGGGGGAAAAUUGUUGUGGGCUUUUUGUAUAGUCUGCUCCCCUGAAAUUGAUUAGCGGUACCUUUGUGGAACUGUCUACAGGUGUGAUAAUUAUCUACAUCUUAGACAUCUGCUGGAAUGCUGCUUUCUAAACCUUACUUGUAUUGACAAUCUUGACCUCAAAUCAGGUAGGACUACCCGCUGAACUUAAGCAUAUCAAUAAGCGGGAGGA
Molecule: unclassified non-coding RNA, 377 nt
Filed under: soil metagenome
Description: partial contains 5.8S ribosomal RNA, internal transcribed spacer 2, and large subunit ribosomal RNA
Rfam family: 5.8S ribosomal RNA (bases 1-120)
Source: RNAcentral